This 143-nucleotide ribosomal RNA is filed under the name uncultured Glomus. RNAcentral describes it as "partial 18S ribosomal RNA". It matches the Rfam family "Eukaryotic small subunit ribosomal RNA", at positions 1683 to 1831 of the family's 1831-position model. Lineage: Eukaryota; Fungi; Glomeromycota; Glomeromycetes; Glomerales; Glomeraceae. The record is from RNAcentral.
UACCGAUGAAUGCUAGUGAGCCUCGGAUCGAUGCUCAUCGACUGUAAAAGGUCUUUGUUGUGAGAAGUUGGUCAAACUUGGUCAUUUAGAGGAAGUAAAAGUCGUAACAAGGUUCCGUAGGUGAACCUGCGGAAGGAUCAUUA